This is a long non-coding RNA of Vespula vulgaris, 419 nucleotides long. RefSeq lists it as uncharacterized. The transcript is spliced from 2 exons. The record is from RefSeq and is a predicted model, not a curated record. NCBI's taxonomy places the organism in Eukaryota, Metazoa, Arthropoda, Insecta, Hymenoptera, Vespidae.
UUUUCAGAUCUCGACCAUUAAAUGUAUUAGCCAUAUGUAAACUAAACUCAUAAACAAAGAGAACAAAAGCGAUUGUUAUUCAAGGUGAGCAAUUUCUCUGCCACGGAUCGCACGUCAUCAUCAGUCAAUGCGGUCCCCCACUACUUAAAUUCACUAGCCAUCAUUCUAUCACUCUUCAUAAUAAAAACUGUGCAGUUCACGAGGCACAGCAGUGUCAAAUAGUGGGGAUCAUUUUCUUUCACUUUAUUGAAGCAAGUAAAUAGAAGCAAAGGUUACAUAUAAAUCGUAGUUUGCUAAUUGCCCACUUAUGAUCUAUGCCAUUAGCGAGUAUAAAUUUCAUAUCUAAUUAAACAUUCUUUUAUAUUCACGCUCAUGUAAUGUUUAGUUAACGUUUAGAGAAAUAUAAGCACUCGUACAAC